UGUUGAAUUGCAUGGUGGUAAAUGUGU
Molecule: non-coding RNA, 27 nt
Filed under: Rattus norvegicus (Norway rat)
Lineage: Eukaryota; Metazoa; Chordata; Mammalia; Rodentia; Muridae
Source: RNAcentral